RNAcentral lists this transfer RNA (87 nucleotides) under Phycisphaerales bacterium. Its description in RNAcentral is "tRNA-Ser". It matches the Rfam family "tRNA". Rfam says of the family: Transfer RNA (tRNA) molecules are approximately 80 nucleotides in length. Their secondary structure includes four short double-helical elements and three loops (D, anti-codon, and T loops). Further hydrogen bonds mediate the characteristic L-shaped molecular structure. tRNAs have two regions of fundamental functional importance: the anti-codon, which is responsible for specific mRNA codon recognition, and the 3' end, to which the tRNAs corresponding amino acid is attached (by aminoacyl-tRNA synthetases). tRNAs cope with the degeneracy of the genetic code in two manners: having more than one tRNA (with a specific anti-codon) for a particular amino acid; and 'wobble' base-pairing, i.e. permitting non-standard base-pairing at the 3rd anti-codon position. The record is from RNAcentral. Lineage: Bacteria; Pseudomonadati; Planctomycetota; Phycisphaerae; Phycisphaerales.
GGAGAGGUGUCCGAGAGGCUGAAGGAACACGACUGGAAAUCGUGUAAACGGGUAACCGUUUCGGGAGUUCGAAUCUCCCCCUCUCCG